RNAcentral lists this long non-coding RNA (182 nucleotides) under Dromaius novaehollandiae (emu). RNAcentral describes it as "lncRNA (ENSDNVG00000003691.1)". Lineage: Eukaryota; Metazoa; Chordata; Aves; Casuariiformes; Dromaiidae. The record is from RNAcentral.
UUUAUUCCAAAGCAUUCUCACUUACAGUGAUCUUCAUCUCUGUAGGAUCUGYCCAGCCUAAAAAAGUUUUCUUGGUGUAUUUAUAUUGAAUGUAAACUGGCGGAAGUAUGAAUACAGCUUCAGCAGUGCUUCCCUGUGGAGGAAUAUCCUGAGGCAGAAUCUGUACAAGCAGCACAUACAAA